Molecule: small RNA, 695 nt
Filed under: Histoplasma capsulatum var. duboisii H88
Lineage: Eukaryota; Fungi; Ascomycota; Eurotiomycetes; Onygenales; Ajellomycetaceae
Description: Histoplasma capsulatum H88 hypothetical RNA
Source: RNAcentral
AAUUCUCGUGUUCUUUCAUCCCCAACCACGCGAUUAAAAUCUAGACAGUAGAUAUUUAAUGAUUUCAAUCGCGUCAUAUCAAUUAUUUGUGAAAUUAAAAUCUAAAUCAUAUUAAUUGUCUUCUAAAUGAUCAGAGUUGAUGGCUUGUGAAACUUCCGAAGUUAUCUACCAUCUCAUCCAAAGCUAUCUGCAUGCCAUCUGGCGGGAGCGGAGGCGAUGAUAGGGGAUAUUGAAUUGACAAGCAAGAGCAGUGGGUGGGCCUGCGAGUAGUACUCGUACUCGUAACUACGAAAUUAAAUAAAGGAACAAAAUAAAAUAGCCAUAAAAUAAAUAUAAGUGUAAAUUGAUGGAGUUGGAAGGCUGGUUCAUUGCAACUAUCUAGCAGACGCAGCACUCCCGUGAAAUAGAUAUGGUCAUGUGGCCUUCUAGCGAGCGAUCGGGAUGCCAGCAUAAAUGAAAUGUAAAUGCGAAAUAUAAAUAAAUCGGUGGAAAAUAAAGAUGGAAAAAAAAGAAUCCAUAGCGAGAGCUUCUUCGCCAGUUCUCCAAAAUUCUCGGAUCUAAGGUACGAGUCAUAGUCGGUCGCCAGAGAUUUGCAAGCAUGGCGUAAGAUAAUGAUAUUAUAAUCUAGGGUUAUUGAUUGGCGAUUGGCUCUCUAAGUGAGCGCGAGGCAUCCUUGAAUUCAACAAUCACCAGGU